This 24-nucleotide non-coding RNA is filed under the name Arabidopsis thaliana (thale cress). The record is from RNAcentral. Lineage: Eukaryota; Viridiplantae; Streptophyta; Magnoliopsida; Brassicales; Brassicaceae.
CAAAGGCGGACCGGCCGACCCAUC